RNAcentral lists this transfer RNA (77 nucleotides) under Salmonella enterica. Its description in RNAcentral is "tRNA-Asp". It matches the Rfam family "tRNA". From Rfam's summary of the family: Transfer RNA (tRNA) molecules are approximately 80 nucleotides in length. Their secondary structure includes four short double-helical elements and three loops (D, anti-codon, and T loops). Lineage: Bacteria; Pseudomonadati; Pseudomonadota; Gammaproteobacteria; Enterobacterales; Enterobacteriaceae. The record is from RNAcentral. RNAcentral also lists the same sequence under 1 other name.
GGAGCGGUAGUUCAGUUGGUUAGAAUACCUGCCUGUCAGGCAGGGGGUCGCGGGUUCGAGUCCCGUCCGUUCCGCCA